Molecule: ribosomal RNA, 253 nt
Filed under: uncultured bacterium
Lineage: Bacteria
Description: partial 16S ribosomal RNA
Rfam family: Bacterial small subunit ribosomal RNA
Source: RNAcentral
UACGAAGGGAACUAGCGUUGUCCGGAAUUACUGGGCGUAAAGAGCGCGUAGGCGGUUUAUUAAGUUGGGAGUGAAAUCCCGGAGCUCAACUCCGGAACUGCUCUCAAAACUGGUAGACUAGAGUGUGAUAGGGGGUGAUGGAAUUCCUAGUGUAGAGGUGAAAUUCUUAGAUAUUAGGAGGAACAUCGGUGGCGAAGGCGAUCACCUGGAUCACUACUGACGCUGAGGUGCGAAAGCGUGGGGAGCAAACAGG